Molecule: ribosomal RNA, 497 nt
Filed under: uncultured bacterium
Lineage: Bacteria
Description: partial 16S ribosomal RNA
Rfam family: Bacterial small subunit ribosomal RNA
Source: RNAcentral
GAUGAACGCUGGCGGCGUGCCUAAUACAUGCAAGUCGAGCGAACGGACGAGAAGCUUGCUUCUCUGAUGUUAGCGGCGGACGGGUGAGUAACACGUGGAUAACCUACCUAUAAGACUGGGAUAACUUCGGGAAACCGUAGCUAAUACCGGAUAAUAUUUUGAACCGCAUGGUUCAAAAGUGAAAGACGGUCUUGCUGUCACUUAUAGAUGGAUCCGCGCUGCAUUAGCUAGUUGGUAAGGUAACGGCUUACCAAGGCAACGAUGCAUAGCCGACCUGAGAGGGUGAUCGGCCACACUGGAACUGAGACACGGUCCAGACUCCUACGGGAGGCAGCAGUAGGGAAUCUUCCGCAAAGGGCGAAAGCCUGACGGAGCAACGCCGCGUGAGUGAUGAAGGUCUUCGGAUCGUAAAACUCUGUUAUUAGUGAAGAACAUAUGUGUAAGUAACUGUGCACAUCUUGACGGUACCUAAUCAGAAAGCCACGGCUAACUACGUG